Molecule: unclassified non-coding RNA, 314 nt
Filed under: plant metagenome
Description: partial contains 5.8S ribosomal RNA, internal transcribed spacer 2, and large subunit ribosomal RNA
Rfam family: 5.8S ribosomal RNA (bases 1-105)
Source: RNAcentral
GAAAUGCGAUAAUUAAUGUGAAUUGCAGAAUUCAGUGAAUCAUCGAGUCUUUGAACGCACAUUGCGCCCCCUGGUAUUCCGGGGGGCAUGCCUGUCCGAGCGUCAUUGCUGCCCUCAAGCACGGCUUGUGUGUUGGGCUUCCGUCCCUGGCAACGGGGACGGGCCCAAAAGGCAGUGGCGGCACCAUGUCUGGUCCUCGAGCGUAUGGGGCUUUGUCACCCGCUCCCGUAGGUCCAGCUGGCAGCUAGCCUCGCAACCAAUCUUUUUAACCAGGUUGACCUCGGAUCAGGUAGGGAUACCCGCUGAACUUAGGC